Molecule: long non-coding RNA, 1133 nt
Organism: Acinonyx jubatus (cheetah)
Lineage: Eukaryota; Metazoa; Chordata; Mammalia; Carnivora; Felidae
Exons: 2
Source: RefSeq, a predicted model, not a curated record
AAAUAAACAUUAAAAAAGUAGAAUUACAUAAUCACAAAAGGCAAUGUUUGCAAGGGACUCUGGAUAUCAUCUGGGUGUACCCUAUCAAAAAAAGAAAGCCCAGAUGUGGUAAGUGACCAGCUGAGGGUCCCUCCCCCCAGAGAAAAGUGGGCCCCCCCGUCCCCUCAUCCUGGGCCUGGCACCCGCGGGAUACCUGGUGAGUGCCUGCUCCAUGAGGGGAGAAUAACGAAACGGACUCGUCCCCGGAUGCUACUCCAGGGUUUCCAGGUGACGGGGCUCUUUGAAGGGUCAGGCAGCAUUUUAAAGGUUUCAAGAAAUGAGAUUCUUUUUGUUCAGCUAUUGGGGGACAGGGAACUCUGUGAAGCCUCUCCUGGUUUAUGACUCCAGCUUUUCAAGGUUGUGUCAACUUAACCUAAAAGCAUUUCUGAAUGCCCUGUGAAAAAUCUGUGACCCACAUAAAGAGCAAGAAAAUCAGAACAUGUAACUCUUAGGCCCGCGGGUCUGAUAUUUCUGCUAGGAAAAUGGCAGGGGCCUCAGUGGCAUGGUCCAGUGGAAGGGAGACUCCUGAGACUUUCCUUCUUUCCUUCUUCUAGACUUUCCCAAAGAUUACUCUGAGAUUCCAUUUCUGAAAGAGGAUGCGUAUAGGUGUGAGUGGAAUGUACAAAAUGCCGAAAUAAGUGAAGUUCAACAGGUUGUGUAAACAGUGCCAAAGCCAACCUUUAUGGAGCCCUUACCAUGGGCCAAAUGCUGUUCCCUAUGCUAUACUUGCACGUGCCUAAGAAAACACCCAGGAGGGACGUCCUCUCAGGAUUUCCAAGCACUUCCUGUGUCUCAGUGACUAUGUUUGGUUGGCCAGCGGACGGAUCCCUGCUUUUCAGACAUCAACUAAAAAUGUCAAGCCAGAGGGGUGCCUGGCUGACGCAGCACAAGGGACGCAUGCCUUGAUCUCGGGGUCCUGAAUUCAAGCCCUCCACUGGGCAUAGAGAUUACUCAAAAAAACAAAGGAAGUAACGUCAGUGAGUCAACUUACAACUAGAAUGAUCAGCCUCUGCUUUAGUUUCUAAAAUUUGGUUUUUGUAAAUUAAGUUUCUUGAAGUGGUUACAUGUAUGAAGGAAGAAAAGGAAGAAAGCCA